Molecule: ribosomal RNA, 301 nt
Filed under: uncultured bacterium
Lineage: Bacteria
Description: partial 16S ribosomal RNA
Rfam family: Bacterial small subunit ribosomal RNA
Source: RNAcentral
CAGUCGCCGCGGUAAUACGUAGGGUGCAAGCGUUACUCGGAAUUACUGGGCGUAAAGCGUGCGUAGGUGGUGGUUUAAGUCCGUUGUGAAAGCCCUGGGCUCAACCUGGGAAUUGCAGUGGAUACUGGGUCACUAGAGUGUGGUAGAGGAUAGUGGAAUUUCCGGUGUAGCAGUGAAAUGCGUAGAGAUCGGAAGGAACAUCUGUGGCGAAGGCGACUAUCUGGGCCAACACUGACACUGAGGCACGAAAGCGUGGGGAGCAAACAGGAUUAGAUACCCCCGUAGUCCCUGUCUCUUAUAC